AUGGCCUCCAGCGAGCUGCCGCCGUCAAAGAAGAAAUCCAGUCCCACCACCAUAAGCUCCCUCGGCGAGGACCUCCUGUGCGAGGUUUUCCUCCGCCUGCCCUCCCUCCCUACCCUCGUCCGCGCCGCCCUCACCUGCCCCGCCUUCCUCCGCGCCGUCCGCUCGUCCCCAAAAUUCCGCCGCCGCUUCCGCGAUCUUCACCCGGCCCCGUUUCUAGGUGUCUUCCUCGACAUCUACGACCCCGGCAUGCCCGCCUUUGCGCCCAUCCGCCGCCUGUCCGAUCCAGACCACGCUGCCGCCGUCCGCGGCGCCGAUGUCUUCCUCACCCGUGUUCCUGACCUGGAAGCCGAAGAGGAAGGCGGUGCCGAAGAUGAAGGGGAAGGGGAAGGGGAAGACGUAGAUGAAAACAUCGGGUGGUCGAUGACGGAGUGUCGCGACGGGUACGUGGUUCUCAUCAACCGGACUUUCGGCCGGAUCAUCAAGCGGGUGGCCGUCUACGACCCCCUCACGCGGGGCCUGCACCUCCUCCCCGCGCCGCCCGGAGAACCAGAGGAGUCUGAAGUUGAGUUCCACGUCGUCACCUCCGAUGAGGACCGCCGGUCGCUCCGCGUCGUCUGCGUCUGCAAGGAAGAAAGUGGGAAAGUGCGGGUCGGCGUCUUCUCCCCGGACAGCAGGGAGUGGCAUAUCUCCCCAACAGGGGCGCGCCUGCAGCUGCAGGACGAUGACAGUGGUACGCUAGUGAACGGGUAUGUCUACUGGGCAUCCGUGAGCGAAGCCGCUAUUCAUCUGCUGAACACGGCAACACUGCAGUUCUCCCGGAUGGAUCUGCCGCGGCGUAUGCAGCGAGUGGGUCUCAAGGUCGGGGAGACCAGCUAUGGGAAACUCUGCUUGGCCUGCGCAUCUGAACUCACUCUUGAUGUCUGGGUCCGGAGGGCAGAUGACAAUGGUGUCGAUAAAUGGACAUUUGAGUUGCUGGACGAUAUCGACAAGCUCCGUCUACAGUUUGUAGAUCAUUACCCACGAGCCACGACUGAAGAGGAACUGAAGGAGGUCUGCCCUAUCAGCAACUCUGAUUCUUCCUAUCCCUACGUCAUGGCGUGGCCUCCUGUUUUGGUGGGCAAUAAGGUGAACUCUCUCGGCUAG
Molecule: ribosomal RNA, 1143 nt
Filed under: Triticum aestivum (bread wheat)
Lineage: Eukaryota; Viridiplantae; Streptophyta; Magnoliopsida; Poales; Poaceae
Description: partial small subunit ribosomal RNA
Source: RNAcentral